This is a long non-coding RNA of Vidua chalybeata, 265 nucleotides long. RefSeq lists it as uncharacterized. The record is from RefSeq and is a predicted model, not a curated record. The transcript has 3 exons. NCBI's taxonomy places the organism in Eukaryota, Metazoa, Chordata, Aves, Passeriformes, Viduidae.
CAAUGAACGAUCAAAACCUUUCCCUAACCACCUUAAACAAUUACUCGGUUUAACGACUUGAAAGAAAACAAUUUUUAAACCAGCUUAGGUGCACUACAACACGUGCCGCUGUAGCAGGAAAAUCCAUCCAAGGAGGAGUUACCAUGUACACCUUCAGGAAAAUUUAAGCCCUAUUUGUAUUUAUUCCCAUGUUCUCAGACUUACCAACAAAUCUGAAACUCCAGAACUCCAUUUAAUUCUAUUCAGAUGAAGAGUGACAUGCCAC